UGGGGAAUAUUGCACAAUGGGCGCAAGCCUGAUGCAGCCAUGCCGCGUGUAUGAAGAAGGCCUUCGGGUUGUAAAGUACUUUCAGCGGGGAGGAAGGCGAUAAGGUUAAUAACCUUGUCGAUUGACGUUACCCGCAGAAGAAGCACCGGCUAACUCCGUGCCAGCAGCCGCGGUAAUACGGAGGGUGCAAGCGUUAAUCGGAAUUACUGGGCGUAAAGCGCACGCAGGCGGUCUGUCAAAUCGGAUGUGAAAUCCCCGGGCUCAACCUGGGAACUGCAUUCGAAACUGGCAGGCUAGAGUCUUGUAGAGGGGGGUAGAAUUCCAGGUGUAGCGGUGAAAUGCGUAGAGAUCUGGAGGAAUACCGGUGGCGAAGGCGGCCCCCUGGACAAAGACUGACGCUCAGGUGCGAAAGCGUGGGGAGCAAACA
Molecule: ribosomal RNA, 427 nt
Filed under: uncultured bacterium
Lineage: Bacteria
Description: partial 16S ribosomal RNA
Rfam family: Bacterial small subunit ribosomal RNA
Source: RNAcentral